Molecule: transfer RNA, 77 nt
Filed under: Anaerolineae bacterium
Lineage: Bacteria; Bacillati; Chloroflexota; Anaerolineae
Also listed under: 1 other name
Description: tRNA-Arg
Rfam family: tRNA
About the family: Transfer RNA (tRNA) molecules are approximately 80 nucleotides in length. Their secondary structure includes four short double-helical elements and three loops (D, anti-codon, and T loops). Further hydrogen bonds mediate the characteristic L-shaped molecular structure. tRNAs have two regions of fundamental functional importance: the anti-codon, which is responsible for specific mRNA codon recognition, and the 3' end, to which the tRNAs corresponding amino acid is attached (by aminoacyl-tRNA synthetases). tRNAs cope with the degeneracy of the genetic code in two manners: having more than one tRNA (with a specific anti-codon) for a particular amino acid; and 'wobble' base-pairing, i.e. permitting non-standard base-pairing at the 3rd anti-codon position.
Source: RNAcentral
GCCCUCGUAGCUCAGAUGGAUAGAGCGCUUGCUUGCGGAGUAAGAGGUCGCGCGUUCGAAUCGUGCCGAGGGCGCCA